AACCCCGAAACCAGGUGAGCUACCCCGAGACAGCCUAUUAAAAUAGGGCUAACCCGUCUCUGUGGCAAAAGAGUGGGAAGAGCUCCGGGUAGAAGUGAUAGACCUACCGAACCUGGUGAUAGCUGGUUGCCUGGGAAAUGGAUAGAAGUUCAGCCUCGCACACCCCCUAAUCAAAAUUUUUUACUUAAGAUAUUGGGAAAAGUACGAGAGUUAGUUGAAGGGGGUACAGCCCCUUCAACAAAGGAUACAACCUUAGCAGAAGGAUAAAGAUCAAAAUAUACAAAACAUCCUGUUCUAGUGGGCCUAAAAGCAGCCACCUAAACAGAAAGCGUUAAAGCUCAGACAGAAAAAAGUUUAUUAUAAGGAUAAUAAAUCUUAUUCCCCUAAUAUUAUCAGGCUAUUCCAUGCCCCCAUGGAAGAAAUUAUGCUAAAAUGAGUAACAAGAAGAACUGCUCUUCUCCAAGCACAAGUGUAAACCAGAUCGGACAAACCACUGGAAAAUAACGAGCCCAAAUAAUAGAGGGUAAUGUAGACAACAAAAAAAUCAGGAAAACCCUACAACUUAGACAUCGUUAACCCCACACUGGAGUGCUAUAUAAAAGGAAAGACUAAAAGAAAGGAAAGGAACUCGGCAAACACAAGCCUCGCCUGUUUACCAAAAACAUCGCCUCCUGCAACUGUUUAAGUAUAGGAGGUCCAGCCUGCCCAGUGACUAUAAGUUUAACGGCCGCGGUAUUUUGACCGUGCAAAGGUAGCGCAAUCACUUGUCUUUUAAAUAGAGACCUGUAUGAAUGGCCAAACGAGGGCUUAACUGUCUCCCCCUUCCAGUCAGUGAAAUUGAUCUAUCCGUGCAGAAGCGGGUAUAAAUAUACAAGACGAGAAGACCCUUUGGAGCUUAAGGUACAAAGUUUAAUCAUGUUAAACAACUUAUUAAAGAGCAAAAACUUAAUGGAAAAUAAACAUUUACCUUCGGUUGGGGCGACCACGGAGGAAAAAUCAGCCUCCGAGUGGAACGGGCUAAAUACCUAAAACCAAGAGAGACAUCUCUAAGCCACAGAAAAUCUGACCAAAAAUGAUCCGACACAUAGUCGAUCAACGAACCAAGUUACCCUAGGGAUAACAGCGCAAUCCUCUCCCAGAGUCCAUAUCGACGAGGGGGUUUACGACCUCGAUGUUGGAUCAGGACAUCCUAAUGGUGCAGCCGCUAUUAAGGGUUCGUUUGUUCAACGAUU
RNAcentral lists this ribosomal RNA (1232 nucleotides) under Pseudorasbora parva (stone moroko). RNAcentral's name for it is "partial 16S ribosomal RNA". It matches the Rfam family "Bacterial large subunit ribosomal RNA", at positions 711 to 2589 of the family's 2925-position model. Lineage: Eukaryota; Metazoa; Chordata; Actinopteri; Cypriniformes; Gobionidae. The record is from RNAcentral.